GACGAACCGUACGAACGUUAUUCGGAAUCACUGGGCUUAAAGGGUGCGUAGGCGGCGCGACAAGUUGGGUGUGAAAUCCCUCGGCUCAACCGAGGAACUGCGCCCAAAACUGUCGUGCUCGAGGGAGACAGAGGUGAGCGGAACUUAGGGUGGAGCGGUGAAAUGCGUUGAUAUCCUAAGGAACACCGGUGGCGAAAGCGGCCCACUGGGUCUCUUCUGACGCUGAGGCACGAAAGCUAGGGUAGCGAACGGG
This 253-nucleotide ribosomal RNA is filed under the name uncultured bacterium. RNAcentral's name for it is "partial 16S ribosomal RNA". It matches the Rfam family "Bacterial small subunit ribosomal RNA", at positions 524 to 776 of the family's 1533-position model. The record is from RNAcentral.